AUGGAGGAGCAGUUGGCGGCGCUAAUCCAGUCCGUCAACGCCAGUCGGACGGCGACGGAGGCGCGAUUGGAGGCGAUCCAGACCUCCCUGGAGUUGUGGCGGCCUGCGGUGACUCACAUCCAGCAGCAAGUGGAUGAGUUACGCGCCCAGGUCGGGCGCAUCGCGCUUCAUCCUGUCCUGGCGGCGCCCUCGAAGUCAGAUCUGGGCUGUGCCGGCGACGCGGUGGUGCACGAGACGAACCACGGGCCAGAUGGCCACGGCGCGGGCGACAUCACCGGGGGACGGGCACACAGGGUGGUCACCACCCAGUUGCCCCCUCCGGUCAAGAGUACGUCUCUGACCGAUCCCGAUCCCCUUUCCCAUUCUCUUGCUCUGAGCCCGCCCGAACUGGUCAAGGAUUUUGAGCCCCGUACACCGCAUGCUACCCAGUCUAGCUGGUCACUUCCAAAACUGGAUUUCCCGUCCUUCGAUGGGGAUAACCCACAGUUUUGGAAAACCCGAUGUGAGAAAUAUUUUGAUGUCUAUAGUGUUCCACCUUAA
RNAcentral lists this ribosomal RNA (540 nucleotides) under Triticum aestivum (bread wheat). RNAcentral describes it as "partial small subunit ribosomal RNA". Lineage: Eukaryota; Viridiplantae; Streptophyta; Magnoliopsida; Poales; Poaceae. The record is from RNAcentral.